CUAAAACUUUCAACAACGGAUCUCUUGGUUCUGGCAUCGAUGAAGAACGCAGCGAAAUGCGAUAAGUAAUGUGAAUUGCAGAAUUCAGUGAAUCAUCGAAUCUUUGAACGCACAUUGCGCCCCUUGGUAUUCCGGGGGGCAUGCCUGUUCGAGCGUCAUCACAACCCUCAAGCUC
This 175-nucleotide ribosomal RNA is filed under the name Lasiodiplodia theobromae. Its description in RNAcentral is "5.8S ribosomal RNA". The stretch from base 5 to 158 matches the Rfam family "5.8S ribosomal RNA". From Rfam's summary of the family: 5.8S ribosomal RNA (5.8S rRNA) is a component of the large subunit of the eukaryotic ribosome. It is transcribed by RNA polymerase I as part of the 45S precursor that also contains 18S and 28S rRNA. The record is from RNAcentral. Lineage: Eukaryota; Fungi; Ascomycota; Dothideomycetes; Botryosphaeriales; Botryosphaeriaceae.